AGAAUCAACGCUGGCGGCGUGCCUAACACAUGCAAGUCGCACGAGAAAGGGGAGCAAUCCCUGAGUGAAGUGGCGCACGGGUGAGUAACACGUGAAUAAUCUACCUCCGAGUGGGGAAUAACUGAGAGAAAUCUUAGCUAAUACCGCAUAACACUUACGAGUCAAAGCAGCAAUGCGCUUGGAGAGGAGUUCGCGGCCGAUUAGUUAGUUGGCGGGGUAAUGGCCCACCAAGACGAUGAU
Molecule: ribosomal RNA, 240 nt
Filed under: uncultured bacterium
Lineage: Bacteria
Description: partial small subunit ribosomal RNA
Rfam family: Bacterial small subunit ribosomal RNA
Source: RNAcentral